RNAcentral lists this ribosomal RNA (253 nucleotides) under uncultured bacterium. RNAcentral describes it as "partial 16S ribosomal RNA". It matches the Rfam family "Bacterial small subunit ribosomal RNA", at positions 524 to 776 of the family's 1533-position model. The record is from RNAcentral.
UACGAAGGGUGCAAGCGUUGCUCGGAAUUAUUGGGCGUAAAGGGUGCGUAGGCGGGCUUGUAAGUCAGUGGUGAAAGCCCGGAGCUUAACUCCGGAACUGCCAUUGAUACUGCAAGUCUUGAGUACACUUGAGGUGGGCGGAAUACAUCAUGUAGUGGUGAAAUACUUAGAUAUGAUGUAGAACACCGAUUGCGAAGGCAGCUCACUAAAUUGUAACUGACGCUGAGGCACGAAAGCGUGGGGAUCAAACAGG